RNAcentral lists this ribosomal RNA (492 nucleotides) under uncultured bacterium. RNAcentral's name for it is "partial 16S ribosomal RNA". It matches the Rfam family "Bacterial small subunit ribosomal RNA", at positions 29 to 507 of the family's 1533-position model. The record is from RNAcentral.
AGUGAACGCUGGCGGUAGGCCUAACACAUGCAAGUCGAACGGCAGCACAGUAAGAGCUUGCUCUUACGGGUGGCGAGUGGCGGACGGGUGAGGAAUACAUCGGAAUCUACUUUUUCGUGGGGGAUAACGUGGGGAAACUUACGCUAAUACCGCAUACGACCUACGGGUGAAAGCAGGGGAUCUUCGGACCUUGCGCGAUUGAAUGAGCCGAUGUCGGAUUAGCUAGUUGGCGGGGUCAAGGCCCACCAAGGCGACGAUCCGUAGCUGGUCUGAGAGGAUGAUCCGCCCGACUGGAACUGAGACACGGUCCAGACUCCUACGGGAGGCAGCGGUGGGGAAUAUUGGACAAUGUGCGCAAGCCUGAUCCAGCCAUCCCGAGUGGGUGAAGAAGGCCUUCGGGUUGUAAAGCCCUACUGUUGGGAAAGAAAAGCAGCAGGUUAAUACCCCGCUGUUCUGACGUUACCAAAAUAAUAAGCACCGGCUAACUUCGUG